UGUACAACUGUGCCUGCUGGUGCUUUCUUUGUGUUCCCUGAGGACAUAAAAGUGGCUGCUGGGUCGGUGCAUCCUGUUUUAGGGAAAACAUACGCUGCACGGAAAGAUCCUGAAUAGGAGCUCACUCGGAGUAGCUUGUGGGCAUCUUUUCUUCUGCAGAGCUUUGGUGUGUCCCAGUGAUCCAGAGCAAACACAGAGGAAGCGAUGAAUAAUACUAUUUCUCUAAAGGAGCAAA
RNAcentral lists this long non-coding RNA (235 nucleotides) under Coturnix japonica (Japanese quail). RNAcentral describes it as "lncRNA (ENSCJPG00005004240.1)". The record is from RNAcentral. Lineage: Eukaryota; Metazoa; Chordata; Aves; Galliformes; Phasianidae.